GGAGGGUUGGCCGAGCGGCUUAAGGCGCCUCACUUAUAAUGAGAUUUACGUUGGAGACAGCGUAACGAGGGUUCGAAUCCCUCACCCUAUU
Molecule: transfer RNA, 91 nt
Filed under: Tatumella ptyseos
Lineage: Bacteria; Pseudomonadati; Pseudomonadota; Gammaproteobacteria; Enterobacterales; Erwiniaceae
Also listed under: 1 other name
Description: tRNA-Ile(tat)
Rfam family: tRNA
About the family: Transfer RNA (tRNA) molecules are approximately 80 nucleotides in length. Their secondary structure includes four short double-helical elements and three loops (D, anti-codon, and T loops). Further hydrogen bonds mediate the characteristic L-shaped molecular structure. tRNAs have two regions of fundamental functional importance: the anti-codon, which is responsible for specific mRNA codon recognition, and the 3' end, to which the tRNAs corresponding amino acid is attached (by aminoacyl-tRNA synthetases). tRNAs cope with the degeneracy of the genetic code in two manners: having more than one tRNA (with a specific anti-codon) for a particular amino acid; and 'wobble' base-pairing, i.e. permitting non-standard base-pairing at the 3rd anti-codon position.
Source: RNAcentral